This 1909-nucleotide ribosomal RNA is filed under the name human gut metagenome. RNAcentral describes it as "bacterial LSU rRNA". It matches the Rfam family "Bacterial large subunit ribosomal RNA", at positions 523 to 2428 of the family's 2925-position model. The record is from RNAcentral.
ACCCCGGGAGGGGAGUGAAAGAGAACCUGAAACCGUAUGUCUACAAGCAGUCGGAGCGAAAGCGACGGCGUGCCUAUUGAAGAAUGAACCAACGAGUUACGUGCACUAGCGAGGUUAAGUGGAAGACACGGAGCCGAAGCGAAAGCGAGUCUUAAGAGGGCGGAUAGUUAGUGUACGUAGACCCGAAACCGCAGUGAUCUACCCAUGUCCAGGUUGAAGCGCAGGUAAAAUUGCGUGGAGGACCGAACCUGUGAGCGUUGAAAAGCUUUAGGAUGAGAUGUGGGUAGAGGUGAAAUUCCAAUCGAACGCGGAGAUAGCUGGUUCUCCCCGAAAUAGCUUUAGGGCUAGCCUCAAGUAGUAAGUAUAGGCGGUAGAGCACUGAUCGGGCUAGGGGCCAUAAAGGUUACCGAACCCUGUCAAACUCCGAAUGGUUAUACUGUAGAGCUUGGGAGUCAGACUACGAGUGAUAAGAUCCGUGGUCAAAAGGGAAACAGCCCAGACCACCAGCUAAGGUCCCCAAUGUCGUACUAAGUGGAAAAGGAUGUGGGGUCUCUAAAACAACCAGGAUGUUGGCUUAGAAGCAGCCACCAUUUAAAGAGUGCGUAAUAGCUCACUGGUCGAGAGACCCUGCGCCGAAGAUUACCGGGGCUAAAGUACGAAACCGAAGCUGUGGCUACGACGUAAGUCGUGGGGUAGGGGAGCGUUCUGUGAGGGCUGAAGUCGUUCUGUAAGGAACGGUGGACUUCACAGAAGUGAGAAUGUUGGUAUGAGUAGCGAAAAGAAUGGUGAGAAUCCAUUCCACCGAAAGCAUAAGGAUUCCUGGGCAACGAUCGUCGUCCCAGGGUAAGUCGGGACCUAAUCCGAGGCAUGGAGCGUAGGAGAUGGACAACUGGCAGAUAUUCCAGUACCGGUAAUGAUUGUUUGAGCGAUGGAGUGACACAGGAGGGCAGGCAGGCAGGAGAUUGGUUGUUCCUGUACAAGCGUGUAGGAUGGGACGUAGGCAAAUCCGCGUCCUGUGAGUCUGAGGCGUGAUGUGGAGGUUCCGGAAACGGAACUGAAGCUGCUGACCCCACACUGUCGAGAAAAGCUUCUAGUUAGAGAAUUACCGCCCGUACCGUAAACCGACACAGGUAUGCGGGGAGAGAAUCCUAAGGUGCGCGGGAGAACCCUCGUUAAGGAACUCGGCAAAAUGUACCCGUAACUUCGGGAUAAGGGUAGCCGCUGUUGUGAAGUCUGAACAGACGGAGCAUGAGGCGGUCGCAGAGAAGAGGCCCAAGCGACUGUUUACCACAAACACAGGUGCCUGCUAAAGAGAAAUCUGACGUAUAGGUGCUGACACCUGCCCAGUGCCGGAAGGUUAAGGAAGGAUGUCCGGAGCAAUCCAAAGCAUUCGACCGAAGCCCCGGUGAACGGCGGCCGUAACUAUAACGGUCCUAAGGUAGCGAAAUUCCUUGUCGGGUAAGUUCCGACCCGCACGAAAGGUGUAACGAUUUGGGCACUGUCUCAACGAGGGACCCGGUGAAAUUGAAGUACCUGUGAAGAUGCAGGUUACCCGCGACUGGACAGAAAGACCCCAUGGAGCUUUACUGUAACCUGACAUUGGGUUCUGAUACAUCACGUACAGGAUAGGUGGGAGGCAUGGAAGCGAGGACGCUAGUCUUCGUGGAGCCGCCGUUGGGAUACCACCCUUGAUGUAUCGGAAUUCUAACCGUAGGAGUAACGAAACUCGGGACAGUGUCAGGCGGGCAGUUUGACUGGGGCGGUCGCCUCCCAAAGAGUAACGGAGGCGCCCAAAGGUUCCCUCAGCGCGGCCGGAAAUCGCGCGAAGAGUGUAAAGGCAGAAGGGAGCUUGACUGAGAGCCAAACACGGCGAUCAGGUACGAAAGUAGGGCUUAGUGAUCCGGUGGCA